Long non-coding RNA from Serinus canaria (Common canary), 381 nucleotides. RefSeq lists it as uncharacterized. The transcript is spliced from 2 exons. NCBI's taxonomy places the organism in Eukaryota, Metazoa, Chordata, Aves, Passeriformes, Fringillidae. The record is from RefSeq and is a predicted model, not a curated record.
GAUACAUGUUGAUGGAUCAUCCAAAUGCUUAUUAAAUAAAAAGAAUCUCUGGGGACACCAGGAUGAGGGUUGUUGAGGCUGUGGGAUGUUUGACCACUCUUGUGCGAGCAGCAGAGUCUCGGGCUGCAGCAGGGGCUGAUCCAUGUGGGUGGCUCGGCGAGGCAACUUCCAGUGUUUGCCCACGCGGUGGAGGCAGCGCGGGGCGCGGUGCUGUUAAGGCUUCCUGCCUUAGCAAGAAGGCAACAUCCUAAGCACAGCAAGUCCAUUUUCUUUAGGAGAACUGAUCUUUACAUGAUCCCAAGAGCUGAACAGCCUAGUGCAGCUGAAGACCCAGCUGGGUACAAAAAGAACAAGAAGCUGUGGUUAAAAAAAAAACGAAAA